UACGUAGGGAGCAAGCGUUGUUCGGAUUUACUGGGCGUAAAGGGCGCGUAGGCGGCAUAUUAAGUCAUCUGUGAAAUCUCCGAGCUUAACUCGGAACUGUCAGCUGAUACUGAUGUGCUAGAGUGCGGAAGGGGCAAUCGGAAUUCUUGGUGUAGCGGUGAAAUGCGUAGAUAUCAAGAGGAACACCUGAGGUGAAGACGGGUUGCUGGGCCGACACUGACGCUGAGUGCGCGAAAGCAUGGGGAGCGAACAGG
Molecule: ribosomal RNA, 254 nt
Filed under: uncultured bacterium
Lineage: Bacteria
Description: partial 16S ribosomal RNA
Rfam family: Bacterial small subunit ribosomal RNA
Source: RNAcentral